This is a long non-coding RNA of Salvia splendens (bonfire salvia), 651 nucleotides long. RefSeq lists it as uncharacterized. The transcript has 2 exons. The record is from RefSeq and is a predicted model, not a curated record. NCBI's taxonomy places the organism in Eukaryota, Viridiplantae, Streptophyta, Magnoliopsida, Lamiales, Lamiaceae.
CUCUCUUCUCUCCCUUCUUUCUCUCUUCGUCUAUCAGUCUCACGCCGCCGCCAUCCCCUCUCUCUCUCUCCCGAUUCGCCGCCGCCGCCACUGUACAUGCACAGGCGGCGGCUUCGCCGACCUCCACCCGGAAGUACGGUCCUAUCAACGGCGCUCUGCACUCUCUCUCUCUCUCUGCACUCUCUCUCCCCCUAAACCCUAAACCCCCUCCGAUUCGCCGCACCGCCGCCGCCGCUGCGGAUCCGCCUCUGCCGCCGUCGCCGAGAACCUCCCACAGCCGCCGACGCCGAUUUCCGACAGGUGGGAUGGUCGGAAUUCGUUCCUCCAAUUCCUCUCUUUUAUUCCGAGCUCGCUGCCGGAAGAGCUAUUGCUGUCGCCGCCGGGAGCCGCUGCUCCGUCGGUGGUCGUGCAGCCCCGAAACAUCACCGCAGCCCCCAACUUCAAACGGGACAGUCCCGAUUCACCUCCGAAUAGCCCCGACACUAACCCGAUUUCAACCGAACAGAUCGGUUCUCAUUCAAAAUAUAAUCGGUUCAAGUCCGUGGCUGCCCGCGCUGAAGUACCCAAUUUGCUUAGAGUGCGAUGUAUUAAAUUUUGUUGGAUGUAUCGGACAUUAAAAUUUUGAUUAUGGGUCUUGAUUCUUUUAUUAUA